RNAcentral lists this ribosomal RNA (270 nucleotides) under uncultured bacterium. RNAcentral describes it as "partial 16S ribosomal RNA". It matches the Rfam family "Bacterial small subunit ribosomal RNA", at positions 28 to 295 of the family's 1533-position model. The record is from RNAcentral.
GAUGAACGCUAGCGGCAGGCUUAACACAUGCAAGUCGAGGGGUAACAGGAGUAGCAAUACUUGCUGACGACCGGCAAACGGGUGCGGAACACGUACAGAACCUACCUUUGUCUGGGGCAUAGCCCGGAGAAAUCCGGAUUAACUCCCCAUAAUAUAUAUGAGUGGCAUCACUUGCAUAUUAAAAAUUUAUUGGACAGAGAUGGCUGUGCGUCCCAUUAGCUGGUUGGUAGGGUAACGGCCUACCAAGGCAACGAUGGGUAGCUGGUGUGA